CUACGGGUCGCAGCAGUGAGGAAUAUUGCACAAUGGGGGGAACCCUGAUGCAGCAACGCCGCGUGGAGGAUGACGCAUUUCGGUGUGUAAACUCCUUUUAUAUGUCAAGAAAAUGACGGUAGCAUAUGAAUAAGCACCGGCUAACUCCGUGCCAGCAGCCGCGGUAAUACGGAGGGUGCAAGCGUUACUCGGAAUCACUGGGCGUAAAGGACGCGUAGGCGGGCUUGUAAGUCAGGUGUGAAAUCCUACAGCUUAACUGUAGAACUGCACUUGAAACUACGAGCCUAGAGUAUGGGAGGGGCAGAUGGAGUUAGUGGUGUAGGGGUAACAUCCGUAGAUAUCACUAGGAAUACCUAAAGCGAAGGCGAUCUGCUGGAACAUAACUGACGCUAAGGCGUGAAAGCGUGGGGAGCAAACAGGAUUAGAUACCCCUGUAGUC
This 439-nucleotide ribosomal RNA is filed under the name uncultured bacterium. RNAcentral's name for it is "partial 16S ribosomal RNA". It matches the Rfam family "Bacterial small subunit ribosomal RNA", at positions 339 to 795 of the family's 1533-position model. The record is from RNAcentral.